CCAGACUCCUACGGGAGGCAGCAGUGAGGAAUAUUGGUCAAUGGGCUUACGCCUGAACCAGCCAAGUCGCGUGAGGGAAGACUGCCCUAUGGAUUGUAAACCUCUUUUGCCGGGGAGCAAAAAGCGGUACGUGUACCGCAUCGAGAGUACCCGGAGAAAAAGCAUCGGCUAACUCCGUGCCAGCAGCCGCGGUAAUACGGAGGAUGCGAGCGUUAUCCGGAUUUAUUGGGUUUAAAGGGUGCGCAGGCGGCGAGUAAAGUCAGCGGUAAAAUGUCGGGGCUCAACCCCAACGAGCCGUUGAAACUGGCUUGCUAGAGUGGGCGAGAAGUAUGCGGAAUGCGUGGUGUAGCGGUGAAAUGCAUAGAUAUCACGCAGAACCCCGAUUGCGAAGGCAGCCUUCCGGCGCCCUACUGACGCUGAGGCACGAAAGUGCGGGGAUCGAACAGGAUUAGAUACCCUCGUAGA
RNAcentral lists this ribosomal RNA (465 nucleotides) under uncultured bacterium. Its description in RNAcentral is "bacterial SSU rRNA". It matches the Rfam family "Bacterial small subunit ribosomal RNA", at positions 331 to 794 of the family's 1533-position model. The record is from RNAcentral.